AUGCUGGCGACGAUGAACUCGAGUGGAACAGGGACAACAAGAGGGGAGGAGAAGGAAGAUGUAGGCCUGGAGUCAGCCAUGAAAAAUAUGAGGUUGUUGGACGGCGAGCUCGACGACGUCUAUGUCGGGGUUGAGGAACUUGGACAGCUACAAAAGGAGGCAAGAUGGCUUGUAGUAGCGAAGGUCAAUACACCUAAGAAGUUCAGUAGUUCUGCGUUCAAGGAGACCAUGAAAUCAAUUUGGAAUCUGGCCCAUACACCGGAGAUCAGGGAAGUCAAUGACAAUCUGUUCACAAUACAAGUAUUUUGCCUGGAGGAUUGGAAGCGUGUAAUGCAUCAGGGGCCAUGCAUCUUCCAUGGCUCAUGGUACUAA
Molecule: ribosomal RNA, 372 nt
Filed under: Triticum aestivum (bread wheat)
Lineage: Eukaryota; Viridiplantae; Streptophyta; Magnoliopsida; Poales; Poaceae
Description: partial small subunit ribosomal RNA
Source: RNAcentral